GACGAACGCUGGCGGCGUGCUUAACACAUGCAAGUCGAACGGAAAGGCCCUGCUUUUGUGGGGUUCUCGAGUGGCGAACGGGUGAGUAACACGUGAGUAACCUGCCCUUGACUUUGGGAUAACUUCAGGAAACUGGGGCUAAUACCGGAUAGGAGCGCCUGCUGCAUGGUGUGGGUUGGAAAGUUUCUGCGGUUGGGGAUGGACUCGCGGCUUAUCAGCUUGUUGGUGGGGUAGUGGCUUACCAAGGCUUUGACGGGUAGCCGGCCUGAGAGGGUGACCGGCCACAUUGGGACUGAGAUACGGCACAGACUCCUACGGGAGGCAGAAGUGGGGAAUAUUGCACAAUGGGCGGAAGCCUGAUGCAGCAACGCCGCGUGAGGGAUGACGGACUUCGGGUUGUAAACCGCUUUCGCCUGUGACGAAGCGUGAGUGACGGUAAUGGGUAAAGAAGCACCGGCUAACUACGUG
RNAcentral lists this ribosomal RNA (468 nucleotides) under uncultured bacterium. Its description in RNAcentral is "partial 16S ribosomal RNA". It matches the Rfam family "Bacterial small subunit ribosomal RNA", at positions 28 to 507 of the family's 1533-position model. The record is from RNAcentral.